This 468-nucleotide ribosomal RNA is filed under the name uncultured bacterium. RNAcentral describes it as "partial 16S ribosomal RNA". It matches the Rfam family "Bacterial small subunit ribosomal RNA", at positions 28 to 507 of the family's 1533-position model. The record is from RNAcentral.
GAUGAACGCUGGCGGCGUGCUUAACACAUGCAAGUCGAACGGUGAAGGCGGAGCUUGCUCUGCUGGAUCAGUGGCGAACGGGUGAGUAACACGUGAGCAAUCUGCCCCUGACUCUGGGAUAAGCGCUGGAAACGGCGUCUAAUACUGGAUACGAGCUGCGAAGGCAUCUUCAGCAGCUGGAAAGAAUUUCGGUCAGGGAUGAGCUCGCGGCCUAUCAGCUUGUUGGUGAGGUAAUGGCUCACCAAGGCGUCGACGGGUAGCCGGCCUGAGAGGGUGACCGGCCACACUGGGACUGAGACACGGCCCAGACUCCUACGGGAGGCAGCAGUGGGGAAUAUUGCACAAUGGGCGAAAGCCUGAUGCAGCAACGCCGCGUGAGGGACGACGGCCCUCGGGUUGUAAACCUCUUUUAGCAGGGAAGAAGCGAAAGUGACGGUACCUGCAGAAAAAGCGCCGGCCAACUACGUG